RNAcentral lists this ribosomal RNA (497 nucleotides) under uncultured bacterium. RNAcentral's name for it is "partial 16S ribosomal RNA". It matches the Rfam family "Bacterial small subunit ribosomal RNA", at positions 28 to 507 of the family's 1533-position model. The record is from RNAcentral.
GAUGAACGCUGGCGGCAUGCCUAAUACAUGCAAGUCGAGCGAACAGAUAAGGAGCUUGCUCCUUUGACGUUAGCGGCGGACGGGUGAGUAACACGUGGGUAACCUAUCUAUAAGACUGGAAUAACUCCGGGAAACCGGGGCUAAUGCCGGAUAACAUGUUGAACCGCAUGGUUCUACAGUGAAAGGCGGCUUUGCUGUCACUUAUAGAUGGACCCGCGCCGUAUUAGCUAGUUGGUGAGGUAACGGCUCACCAAGGCAACGAUACGUAGCCGACCUGAGAGGGUGAUCGGCCACACUGGAACUGAGACACGGUCCAGACUCCUACGGGAGGCAGCCGUAGGGAAUCUUCCGCAAUGGGCGAAAGCCUGACGGAGCAACGCCGCGUGAGUGAUGAAGGUCUUCGGAUCGUAAAACUCUGUUAUUAGGGAAGAACAAAUGCGUAAGUAACUGUGCGCGUCUUGACGGUACCUAAUCAGAAAGCCACGGCUAACUACGUG